GACAGAGGGUGCAAACGUUGUUCGGAUUUACUGGGCGUAAAGCGCGUGUAGGCGGCUUGGCAAGUCGGAUGUGAAAGCCCACGGCUCAACCGUGGAAGCGCACCCGAAACGGCCUCGCUCGAGUCUCGGAGAGGAAGGUGGAAUGCUUGGUGUAGAGGUGAAAUUCGUAGAUAUCAAGCAGAACACCUGCGGCGAAGGCGGCCUUCUGGACGAUGACUGACGCUGAGACGCGAAAGCGUGGGGAGCAAACAGG
This 253-nucleotide ribosomal RNA is filed under the name uncultured bacterium. RNAcentral's name for it is "partial 16S ribosomal RNA". It matches the Rfam family "Bacterial small subunit ribosomal RNA", at positions 524 to 776 of the family's 1533-position model. The record is from RNAcentral.